UGCGUAGGCGGAAUAUUAAGUCAGUGGUGAAAUCCUGCGGCUCAACCGUAGAACUGCCAUUGAUACUGAUAUUCUUGAAUGUAGUUGAGGUAGGCGGAAUGUGUAAUGUAGCGGUGAAAUGCUUAGAUAUUACACAGAACACCGAUUGCGAAGGCAGCUUACUAAACUAUGAUUGACGCUGAGUCACGAAAGCGUGGGGAGCGAACAGGAUUAGAUACCCUGGUAGUCC
Molecule: ribosomal RNA, 229 nt
Filed under: uncultured bacterium
Lineage: Bacteria
Description: partial 16S ribosomal RNA
Rfam family: Bacterial small subunit ribosomal RNA
Source: RNAcentral